RNAcentral lists this non-coding RNA (250 nucleotides) under Candidatus Parcubacteria bacterium. Lineage: Bacteria; Candidatus Parcubacteria. The record is from RNAcentral.
CAAGUAUAUACUAAAAUUGUUCAUUUAAAAAUCAAAAGAAGUGAUUGGGGAAACUGGUUAGAUUCCAGUACAGUGCCGCUACGGUAAGUCCAGCCCCACUUUUACAGAAUAAUUUUUUAUUUAAACUUAUAUUAGGUUUAGAUAAAUCUUGAAAAUAAAAAAUUGUCUGAAAGACAAUUUUUUCAGGAAGUUGUUUUGUAAAAGUGGAGCUGGAACAAGUCCGAAUACCAAUCAUUUUAUUAUUCCCGAG